Molecule: ribosomal RNA, 694 nt
Filed under: Enterobacter sp.
Lineage: Bacteria; Pseudomonadati; Pseudomonadota; Gammaproteobacteria; Enterobacterales; Enterobacteriaceae
Description: bacterial SSU rRNA
Rfam family: Bacterial small subunit ribosomal RNA
Source: RNAcentral
AUUGAACGCUGGCGGCAGGCCUAACACAUGCAAGUCGAGCGGUAGCACAGAGAGCUUGCUCUCGGGUGACGAGCGGCGGACGGGUGAGUAAUGUCUGGGAAACUGCCUGAUGGAGGGGGAUAACUACUGGAAACGGUAGCUAAUACCGCAUAACGUCGCAAGACCAAAGAGGGGGACCUUCGGGCCUCUUGCCAUCAGAUGUGCCCAGAUGGGAUUAGCUAGUAGGUGGGGUAACGGCUCACCUAGGCGACGAUCCCUAGCUGGUCUGAGAGGAUGACCAGCCACACUGGAACUGAGACACGGUCCAGACUCCUACGGGAGGCAGCAGUGGGGAAUAUUGCACAAUGGGCGCAAGCCUGAUGCAGCCAUGCCGCGUGUAUGAAGAAGGCCUUCGGGUUGUAAAGUACUUUCAGCGGGGAGGAAGGUGUUGUGGUUAAUAACCACAGCAAUUGACGUUACCCGCAGAAGAAGCACCGGCUAACUCCGUGCCAGCAGCCGCGCGUAAUACGGAGGGUGCAAGCGUUAAUCGGAAUUACUGGGCGUAAAGCGCCGCAGGCGGUCUGUCAAGUCGGAUGUGAAAUCCCCGGGCUCAACCUGGGAACUGCAUUCGAAACUGGCAGGCUAGAGUCUUGUAGAGGGGGGUAGAAUUCCAGGUGUAGCGGUGAAAUGCGUAGAGAUCUGGAGGAAUACCGGU